UACGGAGGGUGCAAGCGUUAAUCGGAAUUACUGGGCGUAAAGCGCGUGUAGGCGGUCCUGUAAGUCGGAUGUGAAAGCCCCGGGCUCAACCUGGGAACUGCAUUCGAUACUGCUCGACUAGAGUAUGGAAGAGGGAAGCGGAAUUCCGGGUGUAGCGGUGAAAUGCGUAGAUAUCCGGAGGAACACCAGUGGCGAAGGCGGCUUCCUGGUCCAAUACUGACGCUGAGACGCGAAAGCGUGGGGAGCAAACAGGAUUAGAUACCCUGGUAGUCCACGCCCUAAACUAUGUCGAUUAGCCGUUGGGAUCAAUUAAGGUCUUAGUGGCGCAGCUAACGCGAUAAAUCGACCGCCUGGGGAGUACGGCCGCAAGGUUA
RNAcentral lists this ribosomal RNA (374 nucleotides) under uncultured bacterium. Its description in RNAcentral is "bacterial SSU rRNA". It matches the Rfam family "Bacterial small subunit ribosomal RNA", at positions 524 to 896 of the family's 1533-position model. The record is from RNAcentral.